CCCCCCCCACCCCCCCGGCUCGGUUGGCGCGAUGCACAAAUAAUUCGAACGUGACUGAGUCCCUGUGAGAUCUGUUCUUACUUUCGGCGGGGUUUCGACCCCGCCCGAGUUGAAUGAUUUUCGUGGUCAUGAAUAACCGAAAACACAACUCUCAGCAACGGAUAUCUUGGCUCCUGCAACGAUGAAGAACGCAGCGAAAUGCGAUACGUAGUGUGAAUUGCAGAAUUCCGCGAAUCAUCGAGUCUUUGAACGCAAGUUGCGCCCGAGGCUUGUCCGAGGGCAUUUCCGUCAGAGCGUCACCGCGCGCCCCCCGCCGAGCCCACCGCGGCUCGAGCGGAAGUGUGCCCGUCCCGGCCGACGAGGCCGGGUCGGGUGAAAUGGAGGGAAUUUGGCCGGCGUGGUGACGCAGCCCGCGAUCAGGUGAUCCGUAAAUGGAAGCUAAGUGCGCGGCUGCGUCGCCCAGUUGGGCGAUUGAGCAAGUUCCGGAGCAGGUCCUCCCCCGCGUCGCGUCGCGCGCCGGGGAGGGAACCCAGUGACGCAUCAGACCUCUGAUCGGAAAAGAC
This 563-nucleotide small RNA is filed under the name Hedwigia ciliata var. nivalis. Its description in RNAcentral is "eukaryotic LSU rRNA". The stretch from base 147 to 299 matches the Rfam family "5.8S ribosomal RNA". Lineage: Eukaryota; Viridiplantae; Streptophyta; Bryopsida; Hedwigiales; Hedwigiaceae. The record is from RNAcentral.